AGCUGGGUGGCAGGCUGGUAGGCAGGCUAGCCCUCUCCAUCCUCAGUUCUCAGGUGCCUGCUGGAUUUUGCAAGUGAACAUCCAUUUCAGACUACUUGUUGGCUCCUGGAACCCUUCGUGGACCACAGUUGCAAAUAGAUCCCCACCAAUGAUCCUUGAACCACACUGCACAGACAAGCCUUCUAUUCAUUUUAAAAGCAUCUGUAAUGAAUACCGUGAAUAAACGUACACCCCCUUUGUGGACAUCCUUCACAAGGUCACCGAACAGGAAGGCUGAACUCAGGGUGCACGGCUUUCCUUCAGAAUUAACGCUGUCUUCUAAUGGUGCCUUUGAAACAAGGUUUCACCUCCGACUGCCUCAUUCACUCUGC
Molossus molossus (Pallas's mastiff bat) is the source of this 371-nucleotide long non-coding RNA. RefSeq lists it as uncharacterized. The record is from RefSeq and is a predicted model, not a curated record. NCBI's taxonomy places the organism in Eukaryota, Metazoa, Chordata, Mammalia, Chiroptera, Molossidae. The transcript is spliced from 3 exons.